UACGGAGGGUGCGAGCGUUGUCCGGAAUCAUUGGGCGUAAAGGGCGCGUAGGCGGCGUGUCAAGUCAAUUGUGAAAUCUCCGGGCUUAACUCGGAACGGUCAAUUGAUACUGAUGUGCUAGAGUGCAGAAGGGGCAAUCGGAAUUCUUGGUGUAGCGGUGAAAUGCGUAGAUAUCAAGAGGAACACCUGAGGUGAAGACGGGUUGCUGGGCUGACACUGACGCUGAGGCGCGAAAGCUAGGGUAGCAAACGGG
This 253-nucleotide ribosomal RNA is filed under the name uncultured bacterium. RNAcentral's name for it is "partial 16S ribosomal RNA". It matches the Rfam family "Bacterial small subunit ribosomal RNA", at positions 524 to 776 of the family's 1533-position model. The record is from RNAcentral.